CCUACGGGAGGCAGCAGUGAGGAAUAUUGGUCAAUGGACGAAAGGCUGAACCAGCCAAGCCGCGUGAAGGAUGAAGGCGCUAAGGAUUGUAAACUUCUUUUGUAAAGGGAUAAAAUCAGGCACGUGAGCCUGAAUGCGUGUCCAUCUAGAAUAAGCAUCGGCUAACUCCGUGCCAGCAGCCGCGGUAAUACGGAGGGUGCGAGCGUUAUCCGGAUUUAUUGGGUUUAAAGGGUGCGUAGAUGGAACUGUAAGUCAGAGGUUAAAGGUCGGGGGCCAACCGUCAGAUUGCAGUUGAUAAUGGCUGUCUGGAGUACAGGAGGGGUAGGUGGAAUUCGUGGUGUAGCGGUGAAAUGCGUAGAUAUUACGAAGAACACCGAUGGCGAAGGCAGCAUACUG
Molecule: ribosomal RNA, 396 nt
Filed under: uncultured bacterium
Lineage: Bacteria
Description: partial 16S ribosomal RNA
Rfam family: Bacterial small subunit ribosomal RNA
Source: RNAcentral